UAAAAACAAAUACCACCAUAGAUUGUUUCAUGGAGGAUACAAAAAACUUGAGAAAACAAAAAACUAGGAGAUAGGGACUCCAUGAGUCGUGAUCGGGAACCAUCUCCACCAUCAUGACAUGAUAAGUGGAAGAGGUUUCGGCAAAGACCAAAUGGAGACUACACUUCAGAUGCCUCAAGAUUAGUAGCUAAGAAAAUUGUAAGUAGGAC
RNAcentral lists this long non-coding RNA (209 nucleotides) under Lathyrus oleraceus (garden pea). Its description in RNAcentral is "Pisum sativum (pea) long non-coding RNA (PSAT_LNC030693)". Lineage: Eukaryota; Viridiplantae; Streptophyta; Magnoliopsida; Fabales; Fabaceae. The record is from RNAcentral.